Rosa rugosa (rugosa rose) is the source of this 859-nucleotide long non-coding RNA. RefSeq lists it as uncharacterized. The transcript is spliced from 3 exons. The record is from RefSeq and is a predicted model, not a curated record. NCBI's taxonomy places the organism in Eukaryota, Viridiplantae, Streptophyta, Magnoliopsida, Rosales, Rosaceae.
CUAACAUCGAUCACAGAACUAUCUCUCUCUCUCUCUCCUCCCCCCUUCCUUUCUCUCUCUCCCGUCGAUAACAGAUCUUCACGUCUUUGUCUCCGCUUCCGAUUUCAGCGAACACCGGCACGGCGCUAUCGGAUCUUGCACCACAAUCGUCACCUUUAAUUUCCAGAAAAUGAAACUGAUCAAAAAAUUAUAGAUCGAAUGAAAAUGAGAGAGGAGCAGGCAGAUGAGAGAGGAGCAGGCAGCUCGUCGGCGGCCGUCUGAUCGCUGCUUGAUGAUUUUGAUCGGAAAGGUGAGAGGAGGAUCGCGACGAUGAUGAAGGUGCACAGCGAGGCAAGGCAAGGCAGACCAGGCAUCGACGACGUCGUCUAGGGCUCAGUUUGGUGUCAACUCCUUCAAGCCUCCUGAUUUUCAAGCCACCUGAUUCUCAUGAAGGGCGCCGUUUGGCGACUGUAUCUCUAUAGCAACAGCUCCGACGCGUCUCAUGCCUCCACCGCCGCCGUCCCCGCUUAACCUUUCACAACGAUUUUCCUCUCCGAAACACCGACCAAGACGCUUUCCGGCAACCGCUCACUCCAGAGUUCUUUCCCUUUGCAUUUGUAGUAGUAGAUUUUGAAAAUCAUGUGAAUUUGGAUAUUGAAGCCUAUAUUGACCAAGAGAUCAUUCGGCCAACUAAAUUUUUUUGAAAUGAAGGCUCGUGCUGAAGGUGGCAAAUGAUGCAUAUGGAUCUAGAGCGUCACCAUUGAAAAAUGGCAGUAGCAUUACAACAUUGACAAUAGCUUUAUACAACUAUUGUAAUAGAUUUUCACAACUAUAGUAGUGGCUUUUUACAAGUAUGGAAGUAGCUUUUUAUAUAGUUACA